Diabrotica virgifera virgifera (western corn rootworm) is the source of this 372-nucleotide long non-coding RNA. RefSeq lists it as uncharacterized. NCBI's taxonomy places the organism in Eukaryota, Metazoa, Arthropoda, Insecta, Coleoptera, Chrysomelidae. The record is from RefSeq and is a predicted model, not a curated record. The transcript has 2 exons.
GAAUGGGGCUAAAGAAGAAGAAGCAGACACAUAAAGCCUCGUUGCGGGACGGCAGCUCAUUUGUUGUGCGGGAGCUAGGUCGUAGAUUCGUUAGGGAGGGUGAAGGGGUGUUAAGAUGACUACACUACCAUAACUAAAUACAAAGGGGUACUUACUCUGACUAGAGGAUCUUUCUACUAUUUAACAAAAAGGGACGCCGUUUGAAAUAAAUCCUCUAUUUCACCUAUGGGUACUUACUGGAUACUUUCUUACUUACGGGUACCAAUCGGGGGGACAAUCAUCAUUGAUUCCUCUUUGGGGUUACAUUGGGACAACAUCUUUCCUUAUUAUUGGCUUCUAUGCCAUAUUCUUUCUUUUCUUCUGAACUAAAAC